CUUAAGCAUAUCAAUAAGCGGAGGAAAAGAAACCAACUGGGAUUGCCCUAGUAACGGCGAGUGAAGCGGCAACAGCUCAAAUUUGAAAUCUGGCCUCCUUCGGUGGUCCGAGUUGUAAUUUGCAGAGGGUGCUUUGGCGUUGGCAGCGGUCUAAGUUCCUUGGAACAGGACGUCACAGAGGGUGAGAAUCCCGUACGUGGUCGCCCGCCUCCGCCGUGUAAAGCCCCUUCGACGAGUCGAGUUGUUUGGGAAUGCAGCUCUAAAUGGGAGGUAAAUUUCUUCUAAAGCUAAAUACCGGCCAGAGACCGAUAGCGCACAAGUAGAGUGAUCGAAAGAUGAAAAGCACUUUGGAAAGAGAGUCAAAAAGCACGUGAAAUUGUUGAAAGGGAAGCGCUUGCAGCCAGACUUGCCCGUAGUUGCUCACCCGGACUUUUGCCCGGGGCAUUCUUCUGCGGGCAGGCCAGCAUCAGUUUGGGCGACCGGAUAACGGCCUCUGUCACGUACCAUCCUUCGGGAUGGCCUUAUAGGGGAGGCGUAAUGCGGCCAGCCUGGACUGAGGUCCGCGCAUCUGCUAGGAUGCUGGCGUAAUGGCUGUAAGCGGCCCGUCUUGAAACACGGACCAAGGAGUCUAACAUCUAUGCGAGUGUUUGGGUGUCAAGCCCGGGCGCGCAAUGAAAGUGAACGGAGGUGGGAACCCUCUCGGGGGUGCACCAUCGACCGAUCCUGAUGUUCUCGGAUGGAUUUGAGUAAGAGCAUAGCUGUUGGGACCCGAAAGAUGGUGAACUAUGCUUGAAUAGGGUGAAGCCAGAGGAAACUCUGGUGGAGGCUCGCAGCGGUUCUGACGUGCAAAUCGAUCGUCAAAUUUGGGCAUAGGGGCGAAAGACUAAUCGAACUAUCUAGUAGCUGGUUCCUGCCGAAGUCU
RNAcentral lists this ribosomal RNA (922 nucleotides) under Poaceascoma sp. RNAcentral's name for it is "partial large subunit ribosomal RNA". It matches the Rfam family "Eukaryotic large subunit ribosomal RNA", at positions 33 to 969 of the family's 3401-position model. The record is from RNAcentral. Lineage: Eukaryota; Fungi; Ascomycota; Dothideomycetes; Pleosporales; Lentitheciaceae.